UACGGGGGGAGCAAACGUUGUUCGGAAUCACUGGGCUUAAAGGGCGCGUAGGCGGGUGCUCAAGUCCGGGGUGAAAUCCUCCAGCUCAACUGGAGAACUGCCUCGGAUACUGGGUGUCUCGAGUGUGGUAGGGGUAUGCGGAACUAUCGGUGGAGCGGUGAAAUGCGUUGAUAUCGAUAGGAACUCCGGUGGCGAAGGCGGCAUACUGGACCACUACUGACGCUGAUGCGCGAAAGCCAGGGGAGCAAACGGG
Molecule: ribosomal RNA, 253 nt
Filed under: uncultured bacterium
Lineage: Bacteria
Description: partial 16S ribosomal RNA
Rfam family: Bacterial small subunit ribosomal RNA
Source: RNAcentral